This 434-nucleotide ribosomal RNA is filed under the name uncultured bacterium. RNAcentral describes it as "partial 16S ribosomal RNA". It matches the Rfam family "Bacterial small subunit ribosomal RNA", at positions 29 to 507 of the family's 1533-position model. The record is from RNAcentral.
AGCGAACGCUGGCGGCAGGCCUAACACAUGCAAGUCGAACGAACCUUUCGGGGUUAGUGGCGGACGGGUGAGUAACACGUGGGAACGUGCCUUUAGGUUCGGAAUAACUCAGGGAAACUUGUGCUAAUACCGAAUGUGCCCUUCGGGGGAAAGAUUAAUCGCCUUUAGAGCGGCCCGCGUCUGAUUAGCUAGUUGGUUGAGGUAAUGGCUCACCAAGGCGACGAUCAGUAGCUGGUCUGAGAGGAUGAUCAGCCACGUUGGGACUGAGACACGGCCCAAACUGCUACGGGAGGCAGCAGUGGGGAAUCUUGCGGAAGGGGCGAAAGCCUGACGCAGCCAUGCCGCGUGAGUGAUGAAGGUCUUAGGAUUGUAAAAUUCUUUCACCAGGGACGAUAAUGACGGUACCCGGAGAAGAAGCCCCGGCUAACUUCGUG